Molecule: ribosomal RNA, 253 nt
Filed under: uncultured bacterium
Lineage: Bacteria
Description: partial 16S ribosomal RNA
Rfam family: Bacterial small subunit ribosomal RNA
Source: RNAcentral
UACGGAGGGGGCUAGCGUUGUUCGGAUUUACUGGGCGUAAAGAGCGCGUAGGUUGUUAUAUAAGUUAGGAGUGAAAUCCCGGAGCUUAACUUCGGAACUGCUUCUAAAACUAUACAGCUAGAGUAUGGCAGAGGGUAAUAGAAUUCCUAGUGUAGAGGUGAAAUUCUUAGAUAUUAGGAGGAAUACCGAUGGCGAAGGCAGUUACCUGGGCCAUUACUGACGCUGAGGCGCGAAAGCGUGGGGAGCAAACAGG